AUUGAACGCUGGCGGCAGGCCUAACACAUGCAAGUCGAGCGGAGCGGCUGACGGGAGAGUAAUGCCUAGGAAUCUGCCUGGUAGUGGGGGAUAACGUCCGGAAACGGGCGCUAAUACCGCAUACUAUCAGAUGAGCCUAGGUCGGAUUAGCUAGUUGGUGGGGUAAAGGCCUACCAAGGCGACGAUCCGUAUAUGGUCUGAGAGGAUGAUCAGUCACACUGGAACUGAGACACGGUCAAGAUGCCUACGGGAGGCAGAAGGGGGGAAGAUUGGACAAUGGGCGAAAGCCUGAUCCAGCCAUGCGGCGGGUGUGAAGAAGGGCUUCGGAUUGUAAAGCACUUUAAGUUGGGAGGCGGUACCAACAGAGUAAGCACCGGCUAACUUCGUGCCAGCAGCCGCGGUAAUUC
This 407-nucleotide ribosomal RNA is filed under the name uncultured bacterium. RNAcentral describes it as "partial 16S ribosomal RNA". It matches the Rfam family "Bacterial small subunit ribosomal RNA", at positions 30 to 526 of the family's 1533-position model. The record is from RNAcentral.